This 97-nucleotide small nuclear RNA is filed under the name Suricata suricatta (meerkat). Its description in RNAcentral is "U2 spliceosomal RNA (ENSSSUG00005014334.1)". It matches the Rfam family "U2 spliceosomal RNA", at positions 1 to 101 of the family's 192-position model. Rfam says of the family: U2 is a small nuclear RNA (snRNA) component of the spliceosome (involved in pre-mRNA splicing). Complementary binding between U2 snRNA (in an area lying towards the 5' end but 3' to hairpin I) and the branchpoint sequence (BPS) of the intron results the bulging out of an unpaired adenosine, on the BPS, which initiates a nucleophilic attack at the intronic 5' splice site, thus starting the first of two transesterification reactions that mediate splicing. Lineage: Eukaryota; Metazoa; Chordata; Mammalia; Carnivora; Herpestidae. The record is from RNAcentral.
AUCGCUUCUCGGCCUUUUGGCUAAGAUCAAGUGUAGUAUCUGUUCUUAUCAGUUUAAUAAAAGAUUAACUAAAUAUCUAAAAAUAUCUAAAAAUAAU